Caretta caretta (loggerhead turtle) is the source of this 1148-nucleotide non-coding RNA. NCBI's taxonomy places the organism in Eukaryota, Metazoa, Chordata, Testudines, Cheloniidae. The record is from RefSeq and is a predicted model, not a curated record.
UUCCUAGUGCUAUGCAACCUUUCUGAACAUGCUGACACUGAAGAGAGUCAGAUACUUGCUUUUUUUCCAAUCACAACCAGUCUCAUUGUUCAGAAGAUGAGGGAGGAGCAUAAGGCCUUACCCUAAGGGAGGAGCAUGAGGCCUUACCCUAAUGCUGCUACUUAACAGUAUUUCAUCUUCCCUCUAUUUAUAUAAAUUAUUUUUUCCCCUUGACAAUACUCACAAAGUAAAAAUCCGAGUAUGCAUGUGGAUUUUAAGGCACUCUGAAAACCAGAAACUUUGCUAUCAGGACACAUUUCUAAGGAGAGGCCCUGCAGAAGAAUGCAGUUAGAGAGCAACUAAGGUGCACAACAUACACUCUAAAAUAUGCAAACAAAAGGAAUCAAACUUCCAGUAAAUGGGUUUUCCUUGGGUUCAAUGGCCACAACAUGUCACUUUGAGCCACCCACCUACUCUGAUGGCAGGCUGCCUGCAAACACUCUGGUUUACACAUGUGCAAGCAACUCUCUCUGGCUCAUCAUCUCUGCUGACGCCAAACUGCGGAUCCCAGGAUUUACCCAGACUAAUUUUUUAAAUAUUGCUUCCCAAAGGGCCAUGGGUGCUGGACACUAGCAGAAAUCAAUCCCAAACCAGUGACAUUAGUUUGAAGAGAAUCAGAGCCACAAUAAGCCCCAGGCAUACACAAAAAUCUGUUAUAAGAACAGCCUCAACAUUUGGACCACUAAUCCUACUCUGGACAUCAUGAAGCACAAGUUUUCAAGAAAAACCCAGCAAGCCUGUGAGGACUUUGACAAGAAUGGAUAAGCAGUAUCCUAGUCUCAUGCUUAACCACAGCACUGCUACUGUCCUACUAUAAUCCAGACUAACAUGGCUCCUACUCUGAAACCUGUCACAAGAAUAAGAGAUUUAAGAAAUGGAAAGACUUACUACCUGUCUAACUAUCUGUAACUAAACUAUUUGAAGAAAGAUGGGAUGAAGUGAUUAAAAAGAAACUGAUAACAGCAUGUACACAUACAGCUGUCUGUAGUGUCUCAACUCUACUAUACCUUGUAUAGCUGAUAAGCAUGGAAGAGAUCACUAGACUGACCUCUGGAAGCAAGUGCCAUGUUUCCCAAUCUGAAAAAUUUCCCUCUUUUCCAUGUUGUAAG